This 492-nucleotide ribosomal RNA is filed under the name uncultured bacterium. Its description in RNAcentral is "partial 16S ribosomal RNA". It matches the Rfam family "Bacterial small subunit ribosomal RNA", at positions 29 to 507 of the family's 1533-position model. The record is from RNAcentral.
AGUGAACGCUGGCGGUAGGCCUAACACAUGCAAGUCGAACGGCAGCACAGUAAGAGCUUGCUCUUACGGGUGGCGAGUGGCGGACGGGUGAGGAAUACAUCGGCAUCUACUUUUUCGUGGGGGAUAACGUAGGGAAACUUACGCUAAUACCGCAUACGACCUACGGGUGAAAGCAGGGGAUCUUCGGACUUUGCGCGAUUGAAUGAGCCGAUGUCGGAUUAGUUAGUUGGCGGGGUAAAGGCCCACCAAGGCGACGCUCCGUAGCUGGUCUGAGAGGAGGAUCAGCCACCCUGGAACGGAGACACGGUCCAGACUCCUACGGGAGGCAGCAGUGGGGAAUAUUGGACAAUGGUCGCAAGCCUGACCCAGCCAUACCGCGUGGGUGAAGAAGGCCUUCGGUUUGUAAAGCCCGUUUGUUGGGAAAGAAAAUCAGCAGGUUAAUACCCCGCGAUUCUGACGGUACCCAAAGAAUAAGCACCGGCUAACUUCGUG